AUGAGUGGAGACGUCACAAAAGUUUUGCCUCCAAGAAUCAAUGGACCAACUACAGGAUGUUUGCAGAUGAAUGUCAAGACAAUCCGUUGGCUCUUUGAUUCCCCUGGUCAAGUCGUUGUUGCAACAUCCUGGUGGGGUGAUGACUCCAAGUGUCUCUUUAUGCCCAAAGAAGACAACCAACCCAUCAGGAAUAGAGUACAAAAUCGUCGUAUAUUUUCAACAUCUGUUCCAGUCAGGAGAAAUUUCUCACUUACCUGCAGUACCAUAACGAUUAAAGUUUUUAGUUCUGAAGAGAAAAAUGUCCUAGGAGUUGGAACUCUUGAAAAUUUGUCUCAAAUUUUUCACAACCGUCAUUACGAUAAUUUCGUUGAUGUAUAUGACAAAGACUCACAAUUGAUCGCAGAUGUGCAUGUUUGUUUCAAUCUAACAAUUUUCCCUGAAAAUUCUCCUCGAAGUUUCAUCCAGAGAAUUGAUUCUCAUGAAAAUGAUCUGAAUCCCCGACGAGCAAUUCCAUUUUAUUCUCAAGCUGAGAAGCUUAGAGUAGGGUUUGGUGAGAAGACAGACGAAGAACCAAGAUGCCCUGUGUUCAGUCAUUUGGAUGACACUAGGAAAUUGCUUGAGUAUCUUCAAGCCGAUGAAGAAAAGAAAAAGAUGUCUCUUGAACGAAGGUGCCCUGUUUAUAGUCAUUUAGAUGACGAACGGAAAUUGCUUGAUUACCUGAAAGCAGAAAAAGGAAAGAAAAAUGUCUCUCUUCUGGAUAUCACAAAUCUUUGUUUGACGGACGGAAGUGAUGAAACCAAUUUUGCAUUAUCAUCUCCUUCCAGUGAACUAUCAUCUACCAGUGUAAAAAGCUGCAACUCAAAUCUACAACUGAGUGCUUGCAAGAUUAUUUGAAUGGCUUCGACAUGUGCAAAGAAAAUAGAAUGAAAGCGCUCCAACUGUCAAAGAAAUCAACUUCAAGUUUAAUUAAUUUUGCAGAAGUGUCGGACAAAGAGGAGGUAAUGAGGGUAAUGAAUCGCGUUUCAGCAUGAAAAGUAAUUUUUAUACUUAUUUUAGAACAGUUGGUCUAGAAUGAAAAAACCGAGUGACCCAGACAUUCAGAGAGCGCCCGAUCACAGGCCCGACCUGGUGUGCGAAUAUGUGGAAAGGCCUCGAUUUUGUGGCCAAAAAAAAUAUGGAUAUGUGGUAAAACUUAGGAGGGUAAAAAAUGUUGCACGUCUCAGCAUAAGCCUACAUAAAGAUUCGUGAUACUUGCCCUUUCCUGCGGACAACCUAAUUAAUACAAUUUGUAGGAAUUUUCAAACUAUUCCUAAAGAGAGGAAGGCAGGUCGACUAAUUCUGAUUGAUCAAGUCUCGUGUUUUGCUUCUACCUUCGAUAAAAUCGUUUCAAAAUCAGGAGGAAUCCUGAAGAUAUUUCUGCUUUCCUAGUGAAUGAAUGUAUGGAAGACUUCACACAUUUUCGGGACCUCUCCACAUUUCCUUCAACUGGAUGAAAGUUUUUUAAAAGUUAUGAAAAGAUGAUGCAGACAGUGCCAGAAGUCAGAAAAGUGCACUUUUUAUCAUCCUUCGUUAUCUUAUGCUUUUUUACGUCUCUUCCAUGUUUUUACAGAUGUCAUCCUGAAAUUGUGGAAACCUCUCCAUAUUUUUUCCAGUAAAGGAAAGACAUUGGAAAGUUGAGAGAAGAGGCUGCUGACGUUGAUGUACAUUUAUGGGCCAUCCUUCUGGAAAAAGUUGAUGUGUGGUAUCAAUCUCUUCGUUAUGAUGUCUUUAACCAGAAUUUGGAUGGUGGUAACCUUGAAAAUUGUGCAGAAAGCGCCUAAAGUAAACGGCGACCGCUCGGCAGCCACUUUUUUCAAAAGUUCUGUAUAAUGCAUCAUGAAGUAUCUAUUCCUAUGUUUUUGGGGUCGUAGAAUCCGAGUAUCAUGUUUAAGAUUUCCCUGGUUGAAAGAAAUGUCGUAAAUCCAUCAAGGCAACUGAAAAUACCCACGCGGCGAGAAAAUCGCUUUGUAAUCAUUUGACCGUCAAGUGAGGCUGCCACUGAUUGUUUUAUCUGAGUAUAGAGUUACAACUCACUGCACAUCCCAUACAAACCCCCCAAAGCCAAUAUGGCGGCCAUUAUGGCCGCCGGUAGAAACCCUUUUAAUUGGUAUCGGCGAAUAGCGUCAAGUGGAGUAUAGCUUCUAAUGUAUUUUUGGUCAUUCAUUACGAAUAUGAAGUCAAAAAUUACUCUUGACCAAUCUGGAAGCCUGUAAAUCCAAUUUGGCUACUAAAGUGCAGCCGUAGGAUAAUAGCUGUUAUAUUUAGCAAAAGGUGUUAUUUAAUGCAUUUCUGGGGCUCUAUGUUCCAUCAGAGUGGUUCUUCUUAGGACUUUUGAGAACUAGAAACUCAACACCUCUGCAAAGCAAGUAAUUUGAUUAAAAAUGAACGUAUGACGGAAAAAAAAUUAUUAUCACCCGUGCCGCACAGGCACUGAAGUUGAGCUCGAUUUGCGGAGUUUGCAGUUGCUGGCCGGUUGGUCCGUCGCGUAAGGGAUAAAAACGUGCCAAGCAUCUAAAGGAUGGUGUUUAUGUUUAGAGGUGGUGGGUGAAAAGUAACGAACAAUGUGUUGUGGAUUAAUCCAUAUUACAUUCUAAAAAUGAAAAGACACGUUCACAUUAUAAGCAAUUGGUUGGCCGACGCCAUACUGAGUCCUCUCCCUCUCGGGGCCGUGUUGCCAACCUGUGCUGGUUGAUACCAAUCUAGGCUAUCCAACAGUUUAAGCACAUCCUUUUAUACACUUGUACGUAAGUGCCACGGUUUAUGUCUCAAAAUUUCAUUAUUAUCCUUUUUUCUCCAUCAGUGUCGCCAUAUUCCCAAAAAUGACUAACAGAUCAAGUCCUCUGCCGACUCGGCGCGUCUCGCGGAGUAUGAAAACGUGCCGGUCUAAAUCUGAAAACUAGUCUAUAAGCACAACUUUUUAUUAACUUGUAUGCCAUUAACACAGUUUUCCCCCCCAAACAUUUUCUAAAUACCCCUCUUACCACCUUAGUGUAGCCACAUUCGCAUUUUUGACGCUAACGAGCUGCACUCGGCAAGGUAUGAACGUGUGCGGCUUAAAAUAUAAUAACCGGUCUUCAUGCUAAAUUGUACACGUAUUUCUAGGAAGUGACCAACGCAUUUGUUCGGAAAGAGGUUUUUUAAAAACCGCUGAUAUUUCCAACCCCCCCCCCCCCUCCUGACUUUUGCUCAGAUGUACUACGUGCUCCCGAUGCCUGGGCAAAAUUUCAGCCCCCUUGGAUAAUUAAGGGGGAGGGGGCAGGAAGGUAAAUUGGCCACUUUGGCAAAACUUUAUAAAUCGAUAUCUCGCGAACGGUUUGCGCUAAAAAACCUCAACAAAUAUUCUGUACACGUACAUUAGGGUGCGUCAUAUUUGGGGUAAGUCUGAAAAGUCAUGACAACACAUCUUUAAUCGGUUCCAUUUCAUGAAAAAACAUACCAAAAAAAAUUUCAGCUCAAAAUUCGAAAAUUUAGAGGUCGCUCAAAGGCUUCAAAGUUUACGAUUUCGGCGAAAUUUCUUAAAAUUUCUUCGAUAUUGACGAAUCUUCAGGACAAUAAAGAAGAGAAAAUGUUCUAAUUUUUUUCAUCCUUCAUGGUAUAUUUAACUGCAAUAUUACAAAUUUCCACACGCUAUGAUCCCUCGGGUCACAAAAAUGACCUGGGUAGGAACCCGCAAAAGCCGUCUGUCGUGCGAUCUUAGCCGGAGUUUGGAGUCCCGGCGCGGCGCGUUAGGGUGGUCCAAGUUAACAUGGGAAUUUUUUUUUUGGCUCAAUGAACCGCGACGCCCCCUAAAUUUGUUCCUUACCAUUCAAAUAUGAUACCUGCCAAAUUUUUCGCUCUCCGACAGUAUUAACACGUGCCGACUUGAGGCUGAAAAUUUCCAAAAAAAAUUACAUUGAUUUAAAUGGGGCGACAAUGGACCGAUCCGCGGUAUUUCGUUUUUCGGCUGUAAAAUGUGCCAACAUGAAAAUAACUUGAUCUUCACUCACGAUGAUACCUAGAGACCUAUUGUGAAUGAGAAAAUCGCACAUUCGACCCAUGAGGAGGGGGGAAAGGGGUCAAAGCGGAGCCGAUUCGGUAUGCAGACAGUAUGUCUACAGAAAAAAGGGCUACCUUUUUUAGUCUACAGUCAAAACGUCUACAUUAAAAUGCCUACUGAAAUUAUGUCUACAGUCAAAUAUGUCUACGCUAUUAAAAUGUUUACGGUUUGUUUGCCCACUUGGAAA
RNAcentral lists this long non-coding RNA (4262 nucleotides) under Bemisia tabaci. RNAcentral's name for it is "lncRNA ENSSSA3NGG011588". Lineage: Eukaryota; Metazoa; Arthropoda; Insecta; Hemiptera; Aleyrodidae. The record is from RNAcentral.